UUGCUUGGGCAGCACAUACACUGAAAUUGGAACCACGCCGAGAAGAUUAGCAUGGCCCCUGAGGAAGGAUGGCAUGCAAAUUUGUGAAGCGUUCCACAUUUCU
Molecule: small nuclear RNA, 103 nt
Organism: Eptesicus fuscus (big brown bat)
Lineage: Eukaryota; Metazoa; Chordata; Mammalia; Chiroptera; Vespertilionidae
Source: RefSeq, a predicted model, not a curated record